CCUGGUGGCUUAGAUGGCAAAGCAUCUGCCUGCAAUGCAGGAGACCUGGGUUCAAUCUCAGGGUCAGGA
This 69-nucleotide transfer RNA is filed under the name Ovis aries (sheep). It matches the Rfam family "tRNA". From Rfam's summary of the family: Transfer RNA (tRNA) molecules are approximately 80 nucleotides in length. Their secondary structure includes four short double-helical elements and three loops (D, anti-codon, and T loops). The record is from Rfam by way of RNAcentral. Lineage: Eukaryota; Metazoa; Chordata; Mammalia; Artiodactyla; Bovidae.